GCACAACCAUUAAGACCCUCAUCUAUAGUGGACUGGAACAAAGCACAGGUGACUGUAACACAGAUUGAUGAAAGAUUCUGCAGGACGACAAAGGUUAAAGAUGUAGACCCGGAGCUAGAAGCCAGCACUGACACUGAUGGAGUGGACUGCGAUGAGAAUGCCCACAUUAUUGUCCUAUCCUCUGAUAACCAAUGUAAUAUGAAAACCGACUACAGAAGAAAGGAACAAAUUAAAUCCAUUAAUCAAGCAUAUCUCUGCUAAACAGUUGUUCGAAACUGAUGAACAAAUGAAAAAUUUACUGUUUGUUUUCAUGCUUGCAAGGAUUGGGGAAGAAAAUUAAUUAUAAGGUACUGGCCACACUAUCAGUAAAGUUUUUCUUGAGGAAACUAUUGCUUUGUCAAAGGACAAAUGAACCUCAUUAGGGAGAUUAGUUUCAGCUGGUAGUUUUGCAUUAGUACAAACUAAUAAUACACACUUCAAAAGAUACCCUGAGUAAGAUUAUGAAAAUUGAAAUCCAUUUGUUACUUCUUAAUUUACUAACUGUUAGAAAAUGACCACUCUAUUACUUAUCAUGAAACCAGAAG
Molecule: long non-coding RNA, 584 nt
Filed under: Homo sapiens (human)
Lineage: Eukaryota; Metazoa; Chordata; Mammalia; Primates; Hominidae
Description: non-protein coding LINC02027:17
Source: RNAcentral